Molecule: long non-coding RNA, 1377 nt
Filed under: Homo sapiens (human)
Lineage: Eukaryota; Metazoa; Chordata; Mammalia; Primates; Hominidae
Description: lymphatic endothelial transcriptional regulator lncRNA 1
Source: RNAcentral
GCUCCCUUCGCCGCGCCUCGCGUGCUAGCGGUGCCCUUGUGAGCCACUGCGUUCUCCAAGGCCAGAACGGGACAGAUGGAGAAAUUGAGAUGAGAGCUCAUCCACAAGAUUACCCAUCAAUGAGCACCAAUAGCAACCAAAUCCACUAGAAGACUGGGAGCUUUUAAGUCAAGAAACUUACAUCAGUAUCAUCAUUCCAAGAAGCGGUAUCCAAGCUGUUUUAUCGAAAGUGCGCAUGGGAGAUAAGACUCUGAGAAUUUAUAGAAACAAACAUUAGAAGGCAGGAAUGUGGAGAGAAGAAAGCUACCUGACAAGGGAAUCUCAGGAUACAAGGAAAACACCAAGCAGAAGCAACUGAUCUGGCAGUGGAAAAAGUAGCUCUCGCGUGUAUUUCAAAGAAGCAACGGUUUUCUGAUUAAGCAGCAUUAUCUUGCAUGUUUUAAUGAGUGACACAAUUACAGUAAAGACUGAAACCAAUUGUCAAGAUGUCAAUGUUGGCUUGGGAUGACUGCAGUAUAAAUCUACUCAUGGAAUUUUACAGAGCAGUAAUAAGAAUAUCAAACAGGUCAUGCACUGUAUUAUCAUUUCAUUGUUAUUUAUGUUUGCCUGGACUUGAUUCAGAGUCUCAGAAACCUCUUAGUCUCAUGACAUUUUUACCUAUUAAAUCAUCAUAUCCUACCAGAAGCCUGUAGAUGAGCCAUUACUUAAAGAAAAUGAAGUUCUAAAAUUAAAUUUGUGUUAUUGUUUAUCUUUGAUUUGUGUAGAGGUCACCACACCUCAUAGCCAUAAAGACACUCAUUAAUCAGAUGAAAAUGAAUGCAUUUAACCAUUCAUUUAUUUUUCAUAAAACCUAUUGAGCAUCUACUAUGUGAUAAACACUGUGAUGACAAUUUCCGGAGAUAUAAAGAAGAUAAAAAAGUGUGUUUUCGAAUUGCUCUUGAUACGACAGAUAAAAUGAUGAACAUGUAAUCAGUGAUGAAAUAUAUUUUAUGUAUGUAAUACUAUGUAUUAGAUACAUAUAUAUUUGUUUUUCUCUGUUCAGGGAAGGCUCUAUGGCAUGAAGCUAUUAUCAUUAUUCAUCAUCUAUUGAAAGGACAUUACUAUGCAUGUCUUCAAGAUUGUACAGUUUAGUUUUUAUAUAAUUGGUGAAGAUAAUUUGCUUUAUACAGGAGAGCUUUCAAACGACAUUUACAUACAUUAACUAAUUUAUCUGUGCUCAAAAUACUUUUCACCUCACAUUUCACAUAAUAAUGCAUAGCAGACAUUCUUUAUCUAGGGGCUUAGCAAAUGCAAGAGGUUGACGUGAGCAGUUCAUUCAUUCAACAACAAAUGCAUUUUGUUGUUAACAAAUAUUAAUAAAUACAUACAUUAAGUCUC